GUUCAAGUAUAGAAUUUAGAACCUUGGACUGCCAUGAGUCAGUGGCUCAGUGCUCAUUUCAAGAAAAUCUUAAGAUCUCCAUUUAUCAGGCAUCUCAAAUUCAGGUAAAACAAUGAAAGGAUUUCCAUAUCUCUACAUUUAGAUUCACCGUGCCCCUGUUAUCAGUGCCAAACACCAUCAUCACCACUUAGUCCAUCCCCAUUCCACCUUUUGGACAAAUAGCAACUGCAGUACCAAUGCUGAAACAGUGAUUACAACAAUUACAUGGCACCUCUUUAGCCACCGCCAACAUUAUCACAAUUUAAAUUGCUGCACCAUUACCAUCAAUGGAAAAACCACAACUUUCUCU
This 349-nucleotide unclassified non-coding RNA is filed under the name Hevea brasiliensis (rubber tree). Lineage: Eukaryota; Viridiplantae; Streptophyta; Magnoliopsida; Malpighiales; Euphorbiaceae. The record is from RNAcentral.